RNAcentral lists this ribosomal RNA (460 nucleotides) under uncultured bacterium. Its description in RNAcentral is "partial 16S ribosomal RNA". It matches the Rfam family "Bacterial small subunit ribosomal RNA", at positions 338 to 795 of the family's 1533-position model. The record is from RNAcentral.
CCUACGGGUGGCAGCAGUGAGGAAUAUUGGUCAAUGGACGAGAGUCUGAACCAGCCAAGUAGCGUGAAGGAUGACUGCCCUAUGGGCUGUAAACUUCUUUUAUAAAGGAAUAAAACGAGGCACGUGUGCCUUUUUGCAUGUACUUUAUGAAUAAGGAUCGGCUAACACCGUGCCAGCAGCAGCGGUAAUACGGAGGAUCCGAGCGUUAUCCGGAUUUAGUGGGUUUAAAGGGAGCGUAGAUGGGUUGUUAAGUCAGUCGUGAAAGUUUGCGGCUCAACCGUAAAAUCGCAAUUGAUACUGGCAGUCUUGAGUACAGUUGGGGUAGGCGGAAUUCGUGGUGUAGCGGUGAAAUGCUUAGAUAUCACGAAGAACCCCGAUUGCGAAGGCAGCUUACUAAACUGUGACUGACAUUGAUGCUCGAAAGUGUGGGUAUCAAACAGGAUUAGAUACCCCUGUAGUC